Molecule: unclassified non-coding RNA, 327 nt
Filed under: soil metagenome
Description: partial contains 5.8S ribosomal RNA, internal transcribed spacer 2, and large subunit ribosomal RNA
Rfam family: 5.8S ribosomal RNA (bases 1-120)
Source: RNAcentral
GAUGAAGAACGUAGCGAAAUGCGAUACGUAGUGUGAAUUGCAGAAUCCAGUGAAUCAUCGAAUCUUUGAACGCACAUUGCGCCCCUUGGUAUUCCGAGGGGCAUGCCUGUUCGAGCGUCAUUUUGACCACUCCCGCUUGCGGGGUCUUGGGCCUUCGCCUCUGGGCGGGCCUUAAAAUCAGUGGCGGUGCCGUCCGGCUCUAAGCGUAGUAAAUCUCCUCGCUAUAGGGUUCCGGAGGGAUGCUGGCCAACAACCCCCAACUUUUAAGGUUGACCUCGGAUCAGGUAGGGAUACCCGCUGAACUUAAGCAUAUCAAUAAGCGGAGGA